GCACCGCUAGCUCAAUUGGCAGAGCAACUGACUCUUAAUCAGUAGGUUCGCGGUUCGAUUCCGCGGCGGUGUA
RNAcentral lists this transfer RNA (73 nucleotides) under Candidatus Latescibacterota bacterium. RNAcentral describes it as "tRNA-Lys". It matches the Rfam family "tRNA". Rfam says of the family: Transfer RNA (tRNA) molecules are approximately 80 nucleotides in length. Their secondary structure includes four short double-helical elements and three loops (D, anti-codon, and T loops). Further hydrogen bonds mediate the characteristic L-shaped molecular structure. tRNAs have two regions of fundamental functional importance: the anti-codon, which is responsible for specific mRNA codon recognition, and the 3' end, to which the tRNAs corresponding amino acid is attached (by aminoacyl-tRNA synthetases). tRNAs cope with the degeneracy of the genetic code in two manners: having more than one tRNA (with a specific anti-codon) for a particular amino acid; and 'wobble' base-pairing, i.e. permitting non-standard base-pairing at the 3rd anti-codon position. Lineage: Bacteria; Pseudomonadati; Candidatus Latescibacterota. The record is from RNAcentral.